CUGUUUACAGAAAUACCAGACAUAUUUUCAAAGCAUUUGAAUACCUGUGGGCCAAAAGCAUCGCAACCUCUACCCCGGCCGAAAGUUCAGAAAAGCCAGCCGCCAAAGAGAAACCUCUGGCCCAGGGCUGAUCUACAACCGAUGGAUGGGUGGGGGUCUGAGGAUGGGACGCCAGCCACUUAGAGCAAUGGACCUUGAAGACCACAAAACGUAGUACCGCAACAGGAACAACAGCCACAAGCAGCUAUCAUGAAUCAUAGGAAAGCAUUUGAAUUGCAAAAGACUGCCCAGAUAUACAUAUGAAAAUAGUCCGCAAUUGUUUCUACAUAUAUUGAGGCAUAAG
This 343-nucleotide small RNA is filed under the name Drosophila erecta. RNAcentral describes it as "GG26971". The record is from RNAcentral. Lineage: Eukaryota; Metazoa; Arthropoda; Insecta; Diptera; Drosophilidae.